This is a long non-coding RNA of Oncorhynchus tshawytscha (Chinook salmon), 873 nucleotides long. The record is from Ensembl. NCBI's taxonomy places the organism in Eukaryota, Metazoa, Chordata, Actinopteri, Salmoniformes, Salmonidae.
CAAUUUUGCAGAUUAACACUGGAGUGAUAAAUGAUCAGAUGGUCAUGUACAGGUAGAGAUAUUGGUGUGCAAAAUAGCAGAAAAGUAAAUAAAUAAAAACAGUAUGGGGAUGAGGUAGGUAAAAUUGGGUGGGCCAUCUACCGAUAGACUAUGUACAGCUGCAGCGAUCGGUUAGCUGCUCAGAUAGCAGAUGUUUGAAGUUGGUGAGGGAAAUAAAAGUCUCCAACUUCAGCGAUUUUUGCAAUUCGUUCCAGUCACAGGCAGCAGAGAACUGGAAUGAAAGGCGGCCAAAUGAGGUGUUGGCUUUAGGGAUGAUCAGUGAGAUACACCUGCUGGAGCGCGUGCUACGGGUGGGUAUAGAGGUAUGGGACUGUAGGUGGAGGUAAAGAGGUAUGGGACUGUAGGUGGAGGUAUAGAGGUAUGGGACUGUAGGUGGAGGUAGAGAGGUAUGGGACUGUAGGUGGAGGUAAAGAGGUAUAGAGGUAUGUGACUGUAGGUGGAGGUAAAGAGGUAUGGGACUGUAGGUGGAGGUAGAGAGGUAUGUGACUGUAGGUGGAGGUAAAGAGGUAUGGGACUGUAGGUGGAGGUAGAGAGGUAUGGGACUGUAGGUGGAGGUAGAGAGGUAUGUGACUGUAGGUGGAGGUAGUAUGUGACUGUAGGUGGAGGUAGUAUGUGACUGUAGGUGGAGGUAGUAUGUGCCUGUAGGUGAAGGUAAAGAGGUAUGGGACUGUAGGUGGAGGUAGAGAGGUAUGGGACUGUAGGUGGAGGUAGAGAGGUAUGGGACUGUAGGUGGAGGUAGAGAGGUAUGGGACUGUAGGUGGAGGUAGAGAGGUAUGGGACUGUAGGUGGAGGUAGAGAGGUAUGUGACUGUAG